AUCCAUCUCAUUAUGUCUCCUGUGAUCAGAUACCCUCAAUGAAUUUGGAAGCUUGGAAAGACGAAAUGGGCGAAGACUUAAAACGGUGUGGCCUUCCUAAACAGAUCAACAAUGGAGAUUAUAUCUUGUCCUCUACAUCUCGAAAACUGGUUGCUCUAUACUCUUGUUACCAUGGUUUCACAUUAAAGGGUGCCGCUGUCAUAGUUUGCAUGGGCAAUCGAUGGUGUAAUCAACCUCUACAAUGUAACAGGGAAUCACCCCUAAGAUGUUAGCGAUGCAACAGAAUGGGAAAUGCUACAUGAGUUUAUAAUCAAGUUCACAUGA
Astatotilapia calliptera (eastern happy) is the source of this 324-nucleotide long non-coding RNA. The record is from Ensembl. NCBI's taxonomy places the organism in Eukaryota, Metazoa, Chordata, Actinopteri, Cichliformes, Cichlidae.